CUUCAGUUUUCCAAGUCAGGUGACUGAAGCCUGCCGCUGACAGACCCACUCUGCCAGGGGUAUCCCACUGCUAAGGACUCAGGUACUGCAGCAAGCCUGACCCAAGGCAACUCCCAGUGCCGUGACACUGUUAUUGCUGGAGACCACAAUCCUGGUGGGGACGCAGGUUCUGCCAAAGUGGUGCCUUUUUCUACCGCCUUAAAGGUGAAGUUUUUCAGCACAACAGGUGUUUACACUAUGAUGAAAAGGCAGUAGGAUGCCAGACUUUGAGACACAUGGAGGAAGUCAAAACUGGUGCCAUUUUUGUGGAUUGGCACUCAACAAACUGGAGGUAACAGUUACAGAGGGGAGGCUUGCCCUGAGAUGUUCUCCCAGGCUCAUGGAUUUCCGAGUGAAAGGGUGAUGCUCAAGACAGAGGAAGAGUGACGCAUGAUUCAGUUCCUAUGGCUUCUCCUUUGUCCUGAAUGAGUGGCAUGAAGAUGCUGCGAAACCACUGCAUGAUGAGCUGAAGUGGAUUGAAUCAAGAAAGAGAAAGUAAAUUAUUUUCUCUAAGGUCAAAAGGAAGUUAAAUUGUCUAAAUACUUAACACUAAUUUGUUCUGAGAAAAAAUAAAGUAGUACACGUUGUCCUUUUUGUUUCAAUCUGAGCCAGUUAAAGAUGGAAUGGAAAAUGUUACCGAAUAGUGUCUAAGAAUGGCCUAGAUAAAAUUGUGAAUGUGAUGGUCUUGUUUUCUUAUUUACUUUGUGGCAUUAACACAAUGUCAUAUGUUAUAUUACAUAAUACACAAUGUAAAAACUAAAUUAUGAGCUUGGUGUUUUAAAUCUGCAGAAUGCGUAUUUGAAAUCUUUAAGAUUUUUCAGUUUAAAUACUUAGAGAUCUAC
Molecule: long non-coding RNA, 881 nt
Organism: Sciurus carolinensis (gray squirrel)
Lineage: Eukaryota; Metazoa; Chordata; Mammalia; Rodentia; Sciuridae
Exons: 3
Source: RefSeq, a predicted model, not a curated record